AAAAAAAUAAAAAGCAAAUCAAUUUUUGAUUCUCUCACUUAACACAGAAAGAAAAAACUAAUCGAAAUAAUGGGAACGGAGAAUUGGAGUUUAACGGCGAAGUUAUGUGACUCAUGCAAAACGUCGCCGGCGACGGUGUUCUGCCGGGCAGAUUCAGCAUUUCUCUGCUUAGGAUGUGACUGCAAAAUCCACGCAGCGAACAAGUUAGCGUCACGUCACGCGCGUGUCUGGGUUUGUGAAGUGUGUGAGCAAGCUCCGGCGAGUGUCACGUGUAAAGCGGAUGCCGCUGCUCUCUGCGUUACGUGUGACCGUGAUAUUCAUUCAGCAAAUCCGUUAGCUCGUCGCCAUGAGCGUUUUCCGGUAGUUCCGUUCUAUGAUUUCGCCGUCGCGAAAUCUCACGGCGGUGGUGAUACCGAUGCCGAUGCUGUUGAUGAUGAGAAGUACUUUGAUAGUACUAAUGAGAAUCCUUCUCAACCAGAGGAAGAAGCUGAAGCAGCGUCGUGGAUACUUCCGACGCCGAAAGAAGGAACUGAUCAGUAUAAAUCUGCUGAUUACUUGUUUAAUGAUAUGGAUUCAUAUUUAGAUAUAGAUCUAAUGUCAUGUGAGCAAAAACCACAUAUUCUUCAUCAUCAACAGCAUCAACACAACCAUUACAGCUCCGACGGAGUUGUACCAGUACAGAACAACAACGAAACUACUCAUUUACCCGGUCCAGUCGUUGAUGGAUUCCCUACAUACGAACUCGAUUUCACUGGAUCUAAACCUUAUAUGUACAAUUUCACCUCUCAAUCGAUCAGCCAAAGUGUUUCAUCAUCAUCUCUUGACGUCGGAGUUGUACCAGACCACAGCACAAUGACGGAUGUAUCAAACACUUUUGUGAUGAACUCAUCUUCCGGUGCUAUUGCCGGCGCCGGCGCCGACGUUGUACCGAAUGCAGUUUCCGGUUUAGACAGAGAAGCAAGGGUAAUGAGGUACAGA
RNAcentral lists this unclassified non-coding RNA (978 nucleotides) under Hevea brasiliensis (rubber tree). Lineage: Eukaryota; Viridiplantae; Streptophyta; Magnoliopsida; Malpighiales; Euphorbiaceae. The record is from RNAcentral.